This 27-nucleotide non-coding RNA is filed under the name Rattus norvegicus (Norway rat). Lineage: Eukaryota; Metazoa; Chordata; Mammalia; Rodentia; Muridae. The record is from RNAcentral.
UUCUUUUUUUUCCUUUUUUUGGUUGGG